AGUAAGAGUACUCCCUGUGGGUUUUUUUAGUGUCCAACAUUUGACCAUCCGUUUUAUUUGAAUUUUUUUUAUAAUUAGUGUUUUUAUUGUUAUUAGAUGAUAAAAUAUGAAUAGUACUUUAUACAUGGCUUGAUUUUUAAAAAAAUUUCACAAAUUUUUCAAAUAAAACGAAUGGUCAAACGUUGGACACAAAGACUUAAAAUGGGACAGAGG
Molecule: microRNA precursor, 213 nt
Organism: Oryza rufipogon (brownbeard rice)
Lineage: Eukaryota; Viridiplantae; Streptophyta; Magnoliopsida; Poales; Poaceae
Rfam family: MIR812 microRNA precursor family
Source: Rfam